GUCUACGGCCAUGCCACCCUGAACAAGUCCGAUGUCUGAUCUCGGAAGCUAAGCAGGAUCAUGCCUGGUUAGUGCUUGGAUGGGAGACCACUUAGGAAGACCAGGUGCUGUAGGCA
Pteropus alecto (black flying fox) is the source of this 116-nucleotide non-coding RNA. NCBI's taxonomy places the organism in Eukaryota, Metazoa, Chordata, Mammalia, Chiroptera, Pteropodidae. The record is from Rfam.